UACGGCGGUGGCGAGCGUUGUCCGAAGUUACCGGGCGUAAAGCGUGCGUAGGCGGUUUCUUAAGUCUGCUGUGAAAGCCCUGGGCUCAACCUGGGAAUGGCGGUGGAUACUGAGAAGCUGGAGUACGGUAGAGGAAGGUGGAAUUCCCGGUGUAGCGGUGAAAUGCGUAGAGAUCGGGAGGAACAUCAGUGGCGAAGGCGGCCUUCUGGACCAGUACUGACGCUGAGGCACGAAAGCGUGGGGAGCAAACAGG
Molecule: ribosomal RNA, 253 nt
Filed under: uncultured bacterium
Lineage: Bacteria
Description: partial 16S ribosomal RNA
Rfam family: Bacterial small subunit ribosomal RNA
Source: RNAcentral